GAUGAACGCUGGCGGCGUGCCUAAUACAUGCAAGUCGAGCGAACGGACGAGAAGCUUGCUUCUCUGAUGUUAGCGGCGGACGGGUGAGUAACACGUGGAUAACCUACCUAUAAGACUGGGAUAACUUCGGGAAACCGGCGCUAAUACCGGAUAAUAUUUUGAACCGCAUGGUUCAAAAGUGAAAGACGGUCUUGCUGUCACUUAUAGAUGGAUCCGCGCUGCAUUAGCUAGUUGGUAAGGUAACGGCUUACCAAGGCAACGAGGCAUAGCCGACCUGAGAGGGUGAUCGGCCACACUGGAACUGAGACACGGUCCUGACUCCUACGGGAGGCAGCAGUAGGGAAUCUUCCGCAAUGGGCGAAAGCCUGACGGAGCAACGCCGCGUGAGUGAUGAAGGUCUUCGGAUCGUAAAACUCUGUUAUGAGUGAAGAACAUAUGUGUAAGUAACUGUGCACAUCUUGACGGUACCUAAUCAGAAAGCCACGGCUAACUACGUG
Molecule: ribosomal RNA, 497 nt
Filed under: uncultured bacterium
Lineage: Bacteria
Description: partial 16S ribosomal RNA
Rfam family: Bacterial small subunit ribosomal RNA
Source: RNAcentral